AACCCUAGUCAAUAGAUUCACGGCGUAAAACGUGUUUAAGGAAUACUUUUAUAAAGUCAAACUUUAGCUACGCUGUAAAAAGCUAUAGCUACUGUAAGCUCUAACGCGAAAGUAACUUUAAAACACCUGAAUACACGACAGCUAAGGCCCAAACUGGGAUUAGAUACCCCACUAUGCUUAGCCCUAAACCUAAGGAGUCCUCCUAACAAGACUCUUCGCCAGAGUACUACUAGCCAAAGCUUAAAACUCAAGGGACUUGGCGGUGCUUCAUAUCCCUCUAGAGGAGCCUGUUCUAUAAUCGAUAAACCCCGAUCAACCUUACCAACCCUUGUCAACU
RNAcentral lists this ribosomal RNA (337 nucleotides) under Artibeus planirostris (flat-faced fruit-eating bat). Its description in RNAcentral is "partial 12S ribosomal RNA". It matches the Rfam family "Bacterial small subunit ribosomal RNA", at positions 536 to 989 of the family's 1533-position model. The record is from RNAcentral. Lineage: Eukaryota; Metazoa; Chordata; Mammalia; Chiroptera; Phyllostomidae.